AACUUUCUCCCAAUAAAACAUCUACUUAAUUAAUUAUCCAUAUACACCAAAUCUUAGUGUAAAAAAUCCACCAAGGUGAGCUUUUCUUUGUAAAUUUUUACCACCUAAAAUGGCUACUUCACUAUCUACACCAACCUUUUCUUUACUAUCUUUGCUUCAAUCAACCAUUAAUAAACCUUCCUUAUCACCUUCUUUCUUCACCAUCAAACCCAAGGUUAGUAAUUUUUGUAGGUUUAUAUCAUCAUCAAUGGCUUCAGAUUCAAAGGAUUUGCCUAUUAACAACCCAGGCCUUCAUGCUACUCCUGAUGAAGCAACUAAAGGUUACUUUUUGCAACAAACUAUGUUUAGAAUUAAGGACCCCAAAGUGAGUCUUGAAUUCUACUCAAAAGUGAUGGGCAUGUCCUUGCUCAAGAGACUGGAUUUUCCAGAGAUGAAGUUCAGCUUAUACUUCAUGGGGUAUGAGGAUACAUCAUCAGCACCCAGUGAACAAGUCGAGCGUACGGCUUGGACCUUUGGUCAGAAAGCUACAUUAGAGCUUACACACAACUGGGGUACUGAGAGUGACCCUAAUUUUACAGGUUAUCACAAUGGAAAUUCGGAACCACGUGGCUUUGGACACAUAGGUGUUACUGUUGAUGACGUCUACAAGGCUUGCGAGAGAUUUGAAAGUCUGGGAGUGGAGUUUGUAAAGAAACCUCUUGAUGGAAAAAUGAAAGGUAUUGCAUUUAUUAAAGAUCCCGAUGGCUAUUGGAUCGAGAUCUUUGACACAAAAAAUAUCAAAGAAGCUGCUGGUCCUGCUUCUUAAUUCUGGUAGGGGUAAGGCUGCGUCACGCCCACCCUCCCCACUGGAGAUUACACUGGGAGCGCGUGAGAGCUUCUAUCGCGAGUCUUGAUCAACUGAGGUAUCGUUGGAGAGUUAACAUUUUCGCGGUGUUUUCGAUUUGCUAGUGCAUGAAUUGGUGCUUAUGUUAUAGGCAAAAAAAAUUUUCUGUGUAAUGUGAAUACUGCAGAUGUAUACUGUGUUUGAAAUAAUGAAUCGAUGAAAAUAUUUGUA
Capsicum annuum is the source of this 1054-nucleotide RNA transcript. It is a transcript of the gene named lactoylglutathione lyase, with no coding region annotated. NCBI's taxonomy places the organism in Eukaryota, Viridiplantae, Streptophyta, Magnoliopsida, Solanales, Solanaceae. The record is from RefSeq and is a predicted model, not a curated record. The transcript has 10 exons.